This 228-nucleotide unclassified non-coding RNA is filed under the name soil metagenome. Its description in RNAcentral is "partial internal transcribed spacer 1". The record is from RNAcentral.
UUGAAUAACUUGGUGUUGAGCUGGCCCCAGUCGGAGCAUGUGCUCGCAUCAUAUUAUUUAUCUAUCUCUUGUGCACCUUUUGUAGUCUUUGAAGCGCUCGCAGUCAAUGCGGUUUUGGGUCUUGGGCUUUGCUGCCCUUUUCCCUGUUUGUUUCAAAGGCUAUGUUUUAUACACACUAUCUGAAGUCACAGAAUGUCUCUUAUUGACUUUCGAGUCAGUAAAUCUAUA